RNAcentral lists this ribosomal RNA (253 nucleotides) under uncultured bacterium. Its description in RNAcentral is "partial 16S ribosomal RNA". It matches the Rfam family "Bacterial small subunit ribosomal RNA", at positions 524 to 776 of the family's 1533-position model. The record is from RNAcentral.
UACAGAGGUCUCAAGCGUUGUUCGGAUUCAUUGGGCGUAAAGGGUGCGUCGGCGGCGCGGUAAGUCGGGUGUGAAAUCUUGGAGCUUAACUCCGAAACUGCAUUCGAUACUGCCGUGCUUGAGGACUGGAGAGGAGACUGGAAUUUACGGUGUAGCGGUGAAAUGCGUAGAUAUCGUAAGGAAGACCAGUGGCGAAGGCGGGUCUCUGGACAGUUCCUGACGCUGAGGCACGAAGGCCAGGGGAGCAAACGGG